Molecule: long non-coding RNA, 2856 nt
Filed under: Salmo salar (Atlantic salmon)
Lineage: Eukaryota; Metazoa; Chordata; Actinopteri; Salmoniformes; Salmonidae
Description: lncRNA (ENSSSAG00000097527.1)
Source: RNAcentral
GUUGGAAUAGGGUCCAGUAUGCAGCUUGAAGGUUUAGAGGCCAUGAUUAUUUUCAUCAUUGUGUCAAGAGAUAUAGUACUAAAACACUUUAGUAUCUCCCUUGAUCCUAGGUCCUGGCAGAGUUGUGUAGACUCAGGACAAUGGAGUUUUGGAGGAAUACGCAGAUUUAAAGAGGAGUCUGUAAUUUGCUUUCUAAUGAUCAUGAUCUUUUCCUCAAAGAAGUUCAUGAAUUCAUUACUGCUGAAGUGAAAGCCAUCCUCCAUUAGCGAAGGCUCCUUUUUAGUUAGCUUUGCGACAGUAUCAAAAAUACAUUUCGGAUUGUUCUUAUUUUCCUCAAUUAAGUUGGAAAAAUAGGGUGAUCGUCAGUGUUCGGCUUCAUUCAUUUGUCAGAUAACUAUGAAAUCUGACAUAUUAUUUCUCAAGUCCUAGAUUACCAAACUUUUGUUUUCUUUGCCAUAGAGUGAACUCGACGUGACGUCGUUACAGCGCGCCAAACGGGUUUCGUCUCUCUUACAGAAGAGACUGAGAAGUACCUCUUUCUCUAACCGGGUUUUUAACGUUUCACGUUGAUAUCAGCAGUCUGUGUGUCACUCGCCGUCUGAUGAAAGGUUGUUAGGAUGCGAUAAGCGUAUUCUAGUGGAGAAAGUGUCCAAAAUAAACCUUUAUUUCGAGUGCGAAGACAGGACAACACGCCACGGCACUAGUAACGUUAGUUACUAGCAAUAACGGAUCUCUGGUUUUAUCGAAGGCAGACAGCUUGUGACUCCUCGAGAGAUCUCCGUCCGAAAAAACUGCUCUCAGGAUGUCCGGUCCCUCCUGUCCUCUCAUCUGAAGACCGUAGGAGAGAAGUCUAGUUUAGUGAUGAAACAGGACAUGUUGACCAGAGGGGGUAACACGGGUACACUCCUGCCAGGGAGGAGAGACUCUAUGGGGGUAUCGCUGCUAGGCAGCACCCCCUCUUCCUCCUCCACCACCCUCUCUUCCUCCUCCAACUCUUCAAUCUCCUCCCUCUCUUCUUCCAUCUCUUCAUCUUCCUCUGGGGAAGAAAGGAGAAAGGGAGGUGGUGAGGAGUUUAUUGGCAGAGAGGAGGAAGAGGGGGAGGUGGUCAGCAUUUCCAUAGUUACCAUAGCGGAGGAGUCCUGCUCCUCGGAACCGUUCGGAACUGUCGGCGGUCACGUCGAGGUAACAGCAAAUGAGAGCGCGGCUAGGGAAAGAGAUGGCCAAUCAAAAACCUCCCACAGUACCCAGACUGAAGAAGAGGGGGUGCGUAAUGGAGUGGAAGAGGAGGAAGGUAGAAAGGAGGAUGAUGAGAAGGAGCAGGGAGAUGAAGGUGAGGAGGAGGAGGCAGAGGAGACGGAUGAAGAGAGAAGGAACCAGGUGUUUGUCUCGGAUGAGAACCCUGAAACGCCUUCCGCACUCCUCAACAUCAAGGUAAGAACCCACCUCUCUCCCCUUCGAGCCUAAUUCAGAGUCCAGAGACACCAUAGUCCGGAAUCCCAUUGUGACAUACAGUGGCAAGAAAAAGUAUGUGAACCUUUUGGAAAAUACCUGGAUUUCUGCAUAAACUGGUCAUAAAAUUUGAUCUGAUCUUCAUCUAAGUCACAACAAUAGACAAAACACAGUCUGCUUAAACUAAUAACACACAAACAAUUAUAUGUAUUUCCAUGUCUUUAUUGAACGCACCGUGUAAAAAUUCACAGUGCAGGGUGGGAAAAGUAUGUGAACCCUUGGAUUUAAUAACUGGUUGACCCUCCUUUGGCAGCAAUAACCUCAACCAAACGUUUUCUGUAGUUGAGGAUCAGACCUGCACAACGGUUCAGGAGGAAUUUUGGACCAUUCCUCUUUACAAAACUGUUUCAGUUCAGCAAUAUUCUUGGGAUGUCUGGUGUGAACUGCUCUCUUAAGGUCCUGCCACAGCAUCUCAAAUCGGGUUGAGGUCAGGACUCUGACUGGGCCACUCCAGAAGGUCUAUUUUCUUCUGUUGAAGCCAUUCUGUUGUUGAUUUACUUCCUGUGUUUUGGGUCGUUGUCCUGUUGCGUCACCCAACUUCUGUUGAGCUUCAAUUGGCGGACAGAUGGCCUUAUAUUCUCCUGCAAAAUCUCUUGAUGAACUUGGGAAAUCAUUUCUCCAUCGAUGAUCACAAGCUGUCCAGGCCCUGAGGCAGCAAAGCAGCCCCAAACCAUGAUGCUCCCUCCACCAUACUUUACAGUUGGGAUGAGGUUUAUGAUGUUGGUGUGCUGUGCCUUUUUUUCUCCACACAUAGUGUUGUGUUUUCCUUCCAAACAACUCAACUGUAGUUUAAUCUGUCCACAGAAUAUUUUGUCAGUAGCGCUGUGGAACAUCCAGAUGCUAUUUUGCAAACUUCAGACGUGCAGCAAUGUUUUUUUUGGACAGCAGUGGCUUCUUCCGUGGUGUCCUCCCAUGAACACCAUUCUUGUUUAGUGUUUUACGUAUCGUAGACUCGUCAACAGAGAUGUUAGCAUCUUCCAGAGAUUUCUGUAAGUCUUUAGCUGACACUCUAGGAUUCUUCUUAACCUCAUUGAGCAUUCUGCUCUGUGCUCUUGAAGUCAUUUUUGCAGGAUGGCCACUCCUAGGGAGAGUAGCAACAGUGAUGAACUUUCUCCAUUUAUAGACAAUUAGUCUUACCGUGGACUGAUGAACAUCAAGGCUUUAAGAGAUACUUUUAUAACCCUUUCCAGCUUUAUGCAAGUCAACGAUUCUUCUCUUUUGUUUGAGGAAUGGUUCACAUCAGGCAAUGCUCCUUGUGAAUAGCAAACUCAAACGCAGCUCUAACCAACAUAUCCAACCUGACAGAGCUUGAGAGGACCUGCAGAGAAGAAUGGGAGAAACUCCCCA